RNAcentral lists this ribosomal RNA (482 nucleotides) under uncultured Saprospiraceae bacterium. RNAcentral's name for it is "bacterial SSU rRNA". It matches the Rfam family "Bacterial small subunit ribosomal RNA", at positions 28 to 505 of the family's 1533-position model. The record is from RNAcentral. Lineage: Bacteria; Pseudomonadati; Bacteroidota; Saprospiria; Saprospirales; Saprospiraceae.
GAUGAACGCUAGCGGCAGGCUUAAUACAUGCAAGUCGAACGGUAACAGCAGAGUUUACUUUGGCUGACGAGUGGCGCACGGGUGAGUAACGCGUACACAAUCUACCUUUGAGAGGGGCAUAGCCUAUGGAAACGUAGAAUAAUACCCCAUGGAAUCUUAAUACCGCAUGGUAUAGAGAUUAAAGCUUCGGUGCUCAAAGAUGAGUGUGCGUCCUAUUAGCUAGAUGGAGGUGUAACGGACCCCCAUGGCGAUGAUAGGUAGGGGGCGUGAGAGCGUGGACCCCCACACGGGUACUGAGACACGGACCCGACAACUACGGUUGGCAGCAGUAAGGAAUAUUGGACAAUGGGCGCAAGCCUGAUCCAGCCAUGCCGCGUGAAGGAAGACUGUCCUAUGGAUUGUAAACUUCUUUUACAAGGGAAGAAACGCCUGGAUUUAUCCGGGCCUGACGGUACCUUGGGAAUAAGCACCGGCUAACUCCG